Small nuclear RNA from Phacochoerus africanus (Common warthog), 107 nucleotides. NCBI's taxonomy places the organism in Eukaryota, Metazoa, Chordata, Mammalia, Artiodactyla, Suidae. The record is from RefSeq and is a predicted model, not a curated record.
GUGCUUGCUGCGGCAGCACAUAUACUGAAAUUGGAAUGAUACAGAGAAGAUUAGUGUGGCCCCUGCGCAAGGGUGACACACAAAUUCGAGGAGUGUUCCAUGUUUUU